CUUUGUCUCUUCCUUGUUCAGCUUCCCGGCUCAGAGCCUGCUACUGUCGCCUCCAUUGUGAGCCGGGAGUCCUGACUGAACCGCUGCUGCGCCCCAGCGGGGUGUGUGCGGGGAGAGCCCUUCCCUAGCGCCCCUCGGGGCCAGCCGGGGGGACUUUCUCCGGGGGCUGGAACCAGCUCCGGGCUCUGCCGACACCAGCCCCUGAGCUGGAGCCUGCAGUUAUUUUGCAUGGGCAGAUGGCAUUUGUGCACCCAACACCGCCCUAUACCGGAAACCUACUGACCACUAUUCCUACCUACAUGCCUCCAGCUUUCACCCUGACCUCACCACACGAUCCAUUGUCUACAGCCAAGCUCUGCGAUACAGCCACAUUUGCUCCAACUCCUCAGACAGAGACAAACACCUACAAGAUCUCUAUCAAGCAUUCUUACAACUACAAUACCCACCUGCGGAAGUGAAGAAACAGAUUGAUAGAGCCAGAAGAGUGCCCAGAAGUCACCUACUACAAGACACGCCUAACAAAGAAAAUAACAGAACGCCACUAGCCGUCACCUUCAGCCCCCAACUAAAACCCCUCCAACCCAUUAUUAAGGAUCUACAACCUAUCCUGAAGGAUGACCCAACACUCUCACAAAUCUUGGGAGACAGGCCAGUCCUUGCCUACAGACAGCCCCCCAACCUGAAGCAAAUACUCACCAGCAACCACAUAUCACACCACAGAACCACUAACCCAGGAACCUAUCCUUGCAACAAAGCCCGUUGCCAACUGUGCCCACAUAUCUAUUCAGGGGACACCAUCACAGGGCCUAAUAACAUCAGCCACACUAUUCAGAGGCUCGUUCACCUGCACAUCCACCAAUGUGAUAUAUGCCAUCAUGUGCCAGCAAUGCCCGUCUACCAUGUACAUUGGUCAAACUGGACAGUCUCUAUGUAAAAGAAUAAAUGGACACAAAUCAGAUGUCAAGAAUUAUAACAUACAUAAACCAGUCAGAGAACACUUCAAUCUCUCUGGUCAUGCGCUUACAGACAUGAAAGUUGCGAUAUUACAACAAAAAAACUUCAAAACCAGACUCCAGCAAGAGACUGUUGAAUUGGAAUUCAUUUGCAAAUUGGAUACAAUUAACUUAGGCUUGAAUAGAGACUGGGAGUGGCUAAGUCAUUAUGCAAGGUAACCUAUUUCCCCUUGUUUUUUCCUACUCCCCCCAAUACGUUCUUGUUAAACCCUGGAUUUAUGCUGGAAAUGGCCCACCUUGAUUAUCAUACCAUUGUAAGGAGAGUGAUCACUUUAGAUAAGCUAUUACCAGCAGGAGAGUGGGGUGGGGGGAGAGAAAACCUUUUGUAGUGGUAAACAACCAUUUUUUCAUGCUUUGUGUGUAUAAAAAGAUCUUCUAUACUUUCCACAGUAUGCAUCUGAUGAAGUGAGCUGUAGCUCAUGAAAGCUUAUGCUCAAAUAAAUUGGUUAGUCUCUAAGGUG
This is a long non-coding RNA of Caretta caretta (loggerhead turtle), 1474 nucleotides long. RefSeq lists it as uncharacterized. Lineage: Eukaryota; Metazoa; Chordata; Testudines; Cheloniidae. The record is from RefSeq and is a predicted model, not a curated record.